This 497-nucleotide ribosomal RNA is filed under the name uncultured bacterium. RNAcentral describes it as "partial 16S ribosomal RNA". It matches the Rfam family "Bacterial small subunit ribosomal RNA", at positions 28 to 507 of the family's 1533-position model. The record is from RNAcentral.
GAUGAACGCUGGCGGCGUGCCUAAUACAUGCAAGUCGAGCGAACGGACGAGAAGCUUGCUUCUCUGAUGUUAGCGGCGGACGGGUGAGUAACACGUGGAUAACCUACCUAUAAGACUGGGAUAACUUCGGGAAACCGUAGCUAAUACCGGAUAAUAUUUUGAACCGCAUAGUUCAAAAGUGAAAGACGGUCUUGCUGUCACUUAUAGAUGGAUCCGCGCUGCAUUAGCUAGUUGGUAAGGUAACGGCUUACCAAGGCAACGAUGCAUAGCCGACCUGAGAGGGUGAUCGGCCACACUGGAACUGAGACACGGUCCAGACUCCUACGGGAGGCAGCAGUAGGGAAUCUUCCGCAAUGGGCGAAAGCCUGACGGAGCAACGCCGCGUGAGUGAUGAAGGUCUUCGGAUCGUAAAACUCUGUUAUUAGGGAAGAACAUAUGUGUAAGUAACUGUGCACAUCUUGACGGUACCUAAUCAGAAAGCCACGGCUAACUACGUG